RNAcentral lists this ribosomal RNA (272 nucleotides) under Lumbricidae sp. 'G. Dyne'. RNAcentral describes it as "partial ribosomal RNA small subunit". The record is from RNAcentral. Lineage: Eukaryota; Metazoa; Annelida; Clitellata; Crassiclitellata; Lumbricidae.
AAGAUUGCGGCUUUAUAAAACAGGGACUGUCUCUAACUGAUAGUACCACGAUGUCUCAACCUUUAUAGAUAAACAGCCUGUAUACUGCGUCGAAAGCAUACCUCUAAAAGAUUUAGUAUGCUACUAUGAAAUAAAUUCUCACAUACGUCAGUCAAAGUGCAGCUAUUAAGGAGAUGAUGGUACACUAGAAAUAAAUAAGUUAUUAUGUAUUACAUUCAAAAUAUAUUGUAGUGAUAAUUAUUGAAACAUCUAUUUGAAAUUGAAUCUACAAG